GUCUUCCUGUUUAUCAUAGGAAGUCUGACCUGCCCGGUGAAUGAAUUUAACGGCCGCGGUAUAUUGACCGUGCAAAGGUAGCAUAAUCAUUAGUCUUUUAAUAGGAGGCUGGUAUGAAGGGUUUGACGAGGAGUUAGCUGUCUCAAUUCUAAUUAUUUGAAUCUGACUUUUUGGUUAAAAGGCUUUAAAAUGUUAUUGGUAGACGAGAAGACCCUAUAGAGCUUUACAUUUUGUUUUUUAUAUUUUUUUGUUUUAUUUUUAGUUAUUUUUAACAAAUUGUUUUGUUGGGGCGAUGUUUGAAUAUGAGCAACUUCUUGUUUUUUGUCAUUGAUUUAUGAUUGUUUUGAUCCGUUGAUUUUAUUAGCGAUUAUUAGAUUAAGUUACCUUAGGGAUAACAGCGUAAUCCUUUUUUGGAGUUCUUAUUUACGAAAGGGUUUGCGACCUCGAUGUUGGAUUAAGAUAACUUUUUGGUGCAGUCACUUAAUUAGUAGGUCUGUUCGACCUUUAAAUUCUUACAUGAUCUGAGUUCAGACCGG
RNAcentral lists this ribosomal RNA (536 nucleotides) under Drepanosticta attala. RNAcentral's name for it is "partial 16S ribosomal RNA". It matches the Rfam family "Bacterial large subunit ribosomal RNA", at positions 1819 to 2619 of the family's 2925-position model. Lineage: Eukaryota; Metazoa; Arthropoda; Insecta; Odonata; Platystictidae. The record is from RNAcentral.